GAUGAACGCUGGCGGCGUGCCUAAUACAUGCAAGUCGAGCGAACAGACGAGGAGCUUGCUCCUCUGACGUUAGCGGCGGACGGGUGAGUAACACGUGGAUAACCUACCUAUAAGACUGGGAUAACUUCGGGAAACCGGAGCUAAUACCGGAUAAUAUAUUGAACCGCUUGGUUCAAUAGUGAAAGACGGUUUUGCUGUCACUUAUAGAUGGAUCCGCGCCGCAUUAGCUAGUUGGUAAGGUAACGGCUUACCAAGGCAACGAUGCGUAGCCGACCUGAGAGGGUGAUCGGCCACACUGGAACUGAGACACGGUCCAGACUCCUACGGGAGGCAGCAGUAGGGAAUCUUCCGCAAUGGGCGAAAGCUUGACGGAGCAACACCGCGUGAGUGAUGAAGGUCUUCUGAUCGUAAAGCUCUGUUAUUAGGGAAGAACAAGUGUAUAAGUAACUAUGCACGUCUUGACGGUACCUAAUCAGAAAGCCACGGCUAACUACGUG
Molecule: ribosomal RNA, 497 nt
Filed under: uncultured bacterium
Lineage: Bacteria
Description: partial 16S ribosomal RNA
Rfam family: Bacterial small subunit ribosomal RNA
Source: RNAcentral